AUUGAACGCUGGCGGCAGGCCUAACACAUGCAAGUCGAACGAGUGGCGGACGGGUGAGUAAUGUCUGGGAAACUGCCUGAUGGAGGUGGAUAACUACUGGAAACGGUAGCUAAUACCGCAUACCAUCAGAUGUGCCCAGAUGGGAUUAGCUUGUUGGUGGGGUAACGGCUCACCAAGGCGACGAUCCCUAGCUGGUCGGAGAGGAUGACCAGCCACACUGGAACUGAGACACGGUCCAGACUCCAACGGGAGGCAUCAGUGGGGAAUAUUGCACAGUGGGCGCAAGCCUGACUCGACCAAGCCGCGUGUAUGAAGGAGGCCUUCGGGUUGUAAAGUACUUUCAGCGGGGAGGUGUUACCCGCAGAAGAAGCACCGGCUAACUCCGUGCCAGCAGCCGCGGUAAUAC
This 406-nucleotide ribosomal RNA is filed under the name uncultured bacterium. RNAcentral describes it as "partial 16S ribosomal RNA". It matches the Rfam family "Bacterial small subunit ribosomal RNA", at positions 30 to 526 of the family's 1533-position model. The record is from RNAcentral.